AAAAUUUCGGGGGGGGGGGCUGAAGCCCCAUCAGCCCCCCCCCCUGGCUACGCGCCUGGUGGUGAUUGUCAGAAUUCCAACAUUGUGAAGGAGAGAAAUAAACUUUCUCUUGAACAGCAUUGCAACCCAUAAAAUGAAGGUGCAGAAAGAAACGCAGCGGACAUCACUGCGCGUACCACAUGUGGCAUCUUCUGUAUUUCUUCGGUGUUCUUUUCACAUUCUGCUAUGUUUUUGAGGAUCUUUAUAGUACGUUCCAGAAGGGUAUGCUCCAGCCAGCCAGGUGUUGCCUAGCAAUGGAGACGGGCCUCUUCUGAAUAUCUGUAUAAAAUAUUUCUCUUGGUUUCUGCAGUACAGGUUUCUUUUUGUUUUUGCUGUACUUCACCACAAGGCUUUGCACAGAGGGUUUCUGCCAAGGAGAGCAGAGCGAGCGGUACGCAGUCCAGGGGGGCAUUCGGGUAGUUUCCACUUUAGCGGCUGCAGACCAAUGAAUAAUUACAUGUUGUUACUGCCAUUUUUUUUUUAUUCUAACGUAUUCAUUUGGAGGUUAUACUGAAGUCCAUGCUCAUGGCUGGAUGGAGCAGUAGAGCGAGGCCUUGUGGAAUGUACUGCGAAAAUACAUUUUCCUGGGUUUAAAGUAAUAUCACAAUUAGUACCAGCAAACCCUAAAAUUAGCUUUGUUUCUCUGCUUCAUCAAAGAAUCGAUGAAGCUGCACUAUAGGUAAUCAGCGCUGGAGUUUGCAGCAUGCAGCGGCACCCUGGCGGAUGCUGGCCGGCAACAUUUAGUCAUGCAUGCAGAUACAAAUGGCCACUAACGUCGACGACGCCGUGGUGCGCAAUGCUGAAGCGAAGAGAAAGAAACGUCGAGGCCGGCGGUAUUGCUGUGUUUUUGACUGCCACAACCAAGAAGGCUCUGACAGCAGCGUGUCUUUUUACACGUUCCCUUCGAAAUCGUAUGAGAUAGAGCGGCGGCAGCGUUGGAUACAAGCGGUUCGACGUGUAGGGCCCGAUGGCAAACCUUGGCAACCAAAUGCAAACACCAGGAUAUGUAGCCGGCACUUCUAUGGGAAUGCAAAGAGCAACAACAUGCACCAUCCUGCAUAUGUGCCGACGAUUUUUCCUCCGGCAUACUUCCGCACACAUCCUUGCGACCAUUCGAGACCAGCAGAACGAUAUCGGCGACGGACAGAGCGAGCUCAAGCAUGCACGAAGUCACCUGCAAGUUACCGGGCCUCACGGCGAAGUGAAAGAAGGGCAAGUGUACCAGAAGUUUUAGCUGUUGCAUUUUAGUUUGGAAAUUACGCAAGAAAGUUUGACAUUUUUCAUUGUAUACAGGACGAGAACACUCGCAGCUUGACUGGCGGCUCCCAUCGGCAGCCAAUAUAUCCUGAAGCACCAAAGGGAAAUAGCACCUUUCGCUGGAGCUCCGUGCUUAGUCUCAUUUUUACUUUCUGACUCGUGAGACUAUUAAACACGAGCAAGUUGAGGCCUUGUACUUCAUUUCAUGCAUAGCAGGCACCACUGCUAAAGCUACUCAUGUCAUGUAGUGCGGUCAUAGAAGUCUCAACCGGCGCGUUUGGCAAUGCAGUUGUUUUAUAUCUGCAACACUUUCUGCGGAAUAAGUACUGCAUAUAUUACAACUACAGCCUAUGGUCGUACGGCUACGCCAAGUUAUGUAUUAUUUGUGCAGCCCUGUGCAUACAAUAUGCGGCAUACUGCGUUUCGGGCACGAGCGGUGCGCUGUGGCCGCUGGUCCCAGAAACGUGUCGCUCCGUUCAUUUCGUGGUGAACUGGGUCAGAUCUGCGAUGCCUUCCAAGUAAUGCAUGCAUCAUACAGUCAAAUGCUUUUAUAACAAAGUGCUUGGGGCCUCUUGAAUCCUUCGUUGUACAGGUCACUUUAAAGUUGUAAUAGUCACACACCGCAACAACGGGGACAGAAUCAUUCCUUCGUUAUACAGGUCAUUUCGUUGUAGAGGCAGUGUUGUACACGUUCCUCUAAAACAUUCCUCGUUCCUAGAUUGGAAGGAACGAGUUCCCAGUAUAAGUUUCUUUAAUGCGAAAGGAACACAAUUUAGUUAAACUUUGAACAUUGGAACGUGUCGUGACAUCUACGUUACGUUUGAUUUUUAAAUUAAAAUGUAGUGUCGGAUAAUCCUGAGGUGAAAUAAAGUGAUCAAUUUAAAACUCACAUCGAACUAUGUAUAUUAUAUGA
Long non-coding RNA from Dermacentor silvarum, 2209 nucleotides. RefSeq lists it as uncharacterized. NCBI's taxonomy places the organism in Eukaryota, Metazoa, Arthropoda, Arachnida, Ixodida, Ixodidae. The transcript has 3 exons. The record is from RefSeq and is a predicted model, not a curated record.